RNAcentral lists this ribosomal RNA (427 nucleotides) under uncultured bacterium. RNAcentral's name for it is "bacterial SSU rRNA". It matches the Rfam family "Bacterial small subunit ribosomal RNA", at positions 355 to 774 of the family's 1533-position model. The record is from RNAcentral.
UGGGGAAUUUUGGACAAUGGGGGAAACCCUGAUCCAGCCAUGCCGCGUGCAGGAUGAAGGCCUUCGGGUUGUAAACUGCUUUUGUACGGAACGAAAAGGUCCUUUCUAAUAAAGAGGGCUCAUGACGGUACCGUAAGGAUAAGCACCGGCUAACUACGUGCCAGCAGCCGCGGUAAUACGUAGGGUGCGAGCGUUAAUCGGAAUUACUGGGCGCAAAGCGUGCGCAGGCGGUUAUAUAAGACAGAUGUGAAAUCCCCGGGCUCAACCUGGGAACUGCAUUUGUGACUGCAUAGCUAGAGUACGGCAGAGGGGGAUGGAAUUCCGCGUGUAGCAGUGAAAUGCGUAGAUAUGCGGAGGAACACCGAUGGCGAAGGCAAUCCCCUGGGCCUGCACUGACGCUCAUGCACGAAAGCGUGGGGAGCAAACA